GCAUAUAAGCGGAGGAAAGGAAACCAACAGGGAUUGCCCCAGUAACGGCGAGUGAAGCGGCAACAGCUCAAAUUUGAAAUCUGGCCCCCCCCGGGGGGCCCGAGUUGUAAUUUGCAGAGGAUGCUUUGGGCGAGGCGCCUUCCGAGUUCCCUGGAACGGGACGCCACAGAGGGUGAGAGCCCCGUCUGGUCGGACGCCGAGCCUCUGUAAAGCUCCUUCGACGAGUCGAGUAGUUUGGGAAUGCUGCUCAAAAUGGGAGGUAUAUGUCUUCUAAAGCUAAAUACCGGCCAGAGACCGAUAGCGCACAAGUAGAGUGAUCGAAAGAUGAAAAGCACCUUGAAAAGGGGGUUAAACAGUACGUGAAAUUGUUGAAAGGGAAGCGCUCGUGACCAGACUUGGGGCGGGCGGAUCAGCCGGCGUUCUCGCCGGCGCACUCCGCCCGUCCCAGGCCAGCAUCAGUUCGCGCCGGGGGACAAAGGCGGCGGGAACGUGGCUCCCCAGGGAGUGUUAUAGCCCGCCGCGCCAUGCCCCGGGGGCGGACUGAGGGCCGCGCAUCACUGCAAGGAUGCUGGCGUAAUGGUCACCAGCGACCCGUCUUGAAACACGGACC
RNAcentral lists this ribosomal RNA (610 nucleotides) under Aschersonia sp. JP-2006a. RNAcentral's name for it is "eukaryotic LSU rRNA". It matches the Rfam family "Eukaryotic large subunit ribosomal RNA", at positions 38 to 667 of the family's 3401-position model. Lineage: Eukaryota; Fungi; Ascomycota; Sordariomycetes; Hypocreales; Clavicipitaceae. The record is from RNAcentral.